Long non-coding RNA from Talpa occidentalis (Iberian mole), 984 nucleotides. RefSeq lists it as uncharacterized. Lineage: Eukaryota; Metazoa; Chordata; Mammalia; Eulipotyphla; Talpidae. The transcript has 4 exons. The record is from RefSeq and is a predicted model, not a curated record.
UUUCUCGACUUGCAGGAGCCGGAGUGGGGCCUGCAAAACUCAAAUGGAGAGGAAGUUAAGCAGUCUAGCCUAACUUCAGAGCCUGUUAAUUUCCUGUUCAGAGGACAUUCUCAGAUACGUGAAAAGGAUCUCAUGGCACCGAGCUGUAGAGUAGGAGAAAUGAACUGGAAGAAAUGGAUGUCACCACAGCUCAGAUGCUUGUGACAUGUGACCUGUGUGGACUGGAAAAGUUUUGUUUGCAUGUGGGCAGAUUUGUGCAGCACCCAUUCUGGUUCCUAUGUUGAAGCCCUGACCCCCAAGAAACAAGGCACUAGAAACAACAGAAUUCAAAAUACCAACCUGGCUGAAUGGAGGCAGUUUGGAAGCAGAUAUUAAGAAUUCAGACAUCAUCGCCUGAGAACCCUGCUGCCCUUGUUACUGCAGUAGUGAAGCAUUUUGUCAAUCUGUUUACUACUGUACCUUGGCAAUCAGACUGCAUGCUGACCAAAGUUGAAGUGUCGGGAAAAUGAUAUGAAAAUUAAAAACCCUGAUAUGUGCUAGUCUCUUCCUGCUGUUCUCUGCAGAUUCCUUCAAGAGAAAAAGGAGCUCACAUUAGAGCUAGCCAUACUAAAAGCACAGAUGGAGAGAAAAACCAACUUACUAAGGAAGAUACUCCUACCUACAGUCUGCAAUCUGGAUUGAAUAGGACACUCAUAGUUUAGGUCUUGCAGUAUUGAAAAAGUAUCUAGAGCAAUAUUGAAAAAGCCAAAUGCAUUUGUGCCCCAAACUGAAACAGUUACCAGCAGUAGCUGUAAAAUUGCUGUCUUUACAAGAGAUAAGACUGAUAUCCUUUCAUAGAAAAUUAAGAACUUGCUAACAAAUAGAGGAUUACAGGUAUUAUAUUUCUGUCCAAGCACAUUGUAUCAGAUGCCUCAAGGAAGUGAUUGUCUAUUUGAGAAGGCAAAGCUUAGUAAAGCCCAGAGGCCAGUAAAUAAAGAUGAGACC